Long non-coding RNA from Oncorhynchus tshawytscha (Chinook salmon), 579 nucleotides. The record is from Ensembl. Lineage: Eukaryota; Metazoa; Chordata; Actinopteri; Salmoniformes; Salmonidae.
GUAGGACUGUUCCGUUAGGAGGUAGGACCGUUCCGUUAGGAGGUAGGACUGUUCCAUUAGGAGGUAGGACCGGUCCGUUAGGAGGUAGGACCGGUCCGUUAGGAGGUAGGACACUUCCGUUAGGAGGUACGACCGUUCCGUUAGGAGGUAGGACCGUUCCGUUAGGAGGUAGGACUGUUCCGUUAGGAGUUAGGACCGUUCUGUUAGGAGGUAGGACACUUCCGUUAGGAGGUAGGACACUUCCGUUAGGAGGUAGGAUACAUCCGUUAGGAGGUAGGACUGUUCCGUUAGGAGGCAGGACACUUCGGUUAGGAGGUAGGACUGUUCCGUUAGGAGGUAGGACACUUCGGUUAGGAGGUAGGACCGUUCCGUUAGGAGGUAGGACCGUUCCGUUAGGAGGUAGGACCGUUCCGUUAGGAGGUAGGACUGUUCCGUUAGGAGGUGGGACUGUUCCGUUAGGAGGUAGGACACAUCCGUUAGGAGGUAGGACCGUUCCGUUAGGAGGUAGGACACAUCCGUUAGGAGGUAGGACCGUUCCGUUAGGAGGUAGGACACAUCCGUUAGGAGGUAGGACCGUUC